This 1550-nucleotide ribosomal RNA is filed under the name metagenome. RNAcentral's name for it is "bacterial LSU rRNA". It matches the Rfam family "Bacterial large subunit ribosomal RNA", at positions 1360 to 2925 of the family's 2925-position model. The record is from RNAcentral.
GAAGGUUCAUCCACCCAGGGUAAGUCGGGACCUAAGCCGAGGACUGAGGUCGUAGGCGAUGGACAGCAGGUAGAGAUUCCUGCACCACUUACACUUGUUUGACGAAGCAGUGACACAGAAGGAUAGGACGAGCGCGGUGAUGGUCAACCGCGUAGGCGGCACGAGGCCGGGAAGCAGUGAAGUACACUUCCCGCAAAGGCUGAGUGUUGACAGGACCGAAAAGAAGUAGGGAAGCGUCCGAGUUCACGCUGGCGAGAAAAGCUGCUAAGGAGAGUGUGAGUGCCCGUACCGGAAACCGACGCAGGUGGGCGAGGAGAGAAUCCUGAGACGGACGGGAGAACUCUUGUUAAGGAACUCGGCAAAAUGACCCCGUAACUUCGGGAGAAGGGGUGCCUCGAAAGAGGCCGCAGAGAAUAGUCACAAGCGACUGUUUAGCAAAAACACAGGUAUCUGCGAAAGCGAGAGCUGACGUAUAGGUGCUGACGCCUGCCCGGUGCUGGAAGGUUAAGGGGAAGUGUUAGGGGAAACCCGAAGCAGAGAACCGAAGCCCCAGUAAACGGCGGCCGUAACAAUAACGGUCCUAAGGUAGCGAAAUUCCUUGUCGGGUAAGUUCCGACCCGCACGAAUGGCGUAACGACUUGUGAGCUGUCUCAACAGGAGGCCCGGUGAAAUUGAAGUAUGUGUGAAGAUGCACAUUACCCGCGACUGGACGGAAAGACCCCGUAGAGCUUUACUGUAACCUGACAUUGGAUCUUGAUAACGGAUGCACAGGAUAGGUGGGACGCUGGGAGACGAGGACUUUGGUUUUCGUGGAGCGGCCGUUGGGAUACCACUCUUCUGUUAUUGAGAUUCUAACCUCAAGCCGUGAGCCGGAUGAGAGACAGUGUCAGGCGGACAGUUUGACUGGGGCGGUCGCCUCCGAAAGAGUAACGGAGGCGCCCAAAGGUACCCUCAGAAUGGAUGGAAACCAUUCGAAGAGAGCAAAGUCAGAAGGGUGCUUGACUGCGAGACCAACAGGUCGAGCAGGUACGAAAGUAGGGCUUAGUGAUCCGGCGGUAAGAGAGUGGAAUUGCCGUCGCUCAACGGAUAAAAGCUACCUCGGGGAUAACAGGCUGAUCUCCCCCAAGAGUUCACAUCGACGGGGAGGUUUGGCACCUCGAUGUCGGCUCGUCGCAUCCUGGGGCUGAAGCAGGUCCCAAGGGUUUGGCUGUUCGCCAAUUAAAGCGGCACGCGAGCUGGGUUCAGAACGUCGUGAGACAGUUCGGUCCCUAUCCAUCGUGGGCGAAGGACACAUGAGAGGAGCUGCUCCUAGUACGAGAGGACCGGAGUGGACGCAUCACUGGUGCAACUGUUGUCGUGCCAACGGCACAGCAGGGAAGCGAAAUGCGGACGGGAUAAACGCUGAAGGCAUCUAAGCGUGAAGCCCACCUCAAGAAUAAGUGUCCCAUUCGAAAGAAGUAAGACCCCUGGAAGACUACCAGGUGAUAGGUCAUCGGUGAAAGAGUGGUAACAUUUGGAGCUUGAUGAUACUAAUCGGUCGAGGACUUGAU